RNAcentral lists this ribosomal RNA (439 nucleotides) under uncultured bacterium. Its description in RNAcentral is "partial 16S ribosomal RNA". It matches the Rfam family "Bacterial small subunit ribosomal RNA", at positions 339 to 795 of the family's 1533-position model. The record is from RNAcentral.
CUACGGGUUGCAGCAGUGAGGAAUAUUGCACAAUGAGGGGAACCCUGAUGCAGCAACGCCGCGUGGAGGAUGACGCAUUUCGGUGUGUAAACUCCUUUUAUAUGUCAAGAAAAUGACGGUAGCAUAUGAAUAAGCACCGGCUAACUCCGUGCCAGCAGCCGCGGGAAUACGGAGGGUGCAGGCGUUACUCGGAAUCACUGGGCGUAAAGGACGCGUAGGCGGGUUGGAAAGUCAGGUGUGAAAUCCUACAGCUUAACUGUAGAACUGCACUUGAAACUUCUAAUCUAGAGUAUGGGAGGGGGAGAUGGAAUUAGUGGUGUAGGGGUAAAAUCCGUAGAUAUCACUAGGAAUACCUAUUGCGCAGGCGAUUCCCUUGAACAUUACUGACGCUAAGGCGUGAAAUCGUGCGGAGCAAACAGGAUUAGAUACCCGAGUAGUC